This is a non-coding RNA of Globicephala melas (long-finned pilot whale), 1186 nucleotides long. The record is from RefSeq and is a predicted model, not a curated record. Lineage: Eukaryota; Metazoa; Chordata; Mammalia; Artiodactyla; Delphinidae.
AGAGGACCCAGUGAGAAGGCAGCUGUCUACAAGCCAGAAAGAGGAGCCUCUUCCUGAAACCAACCCUGCUGGCAGCUUGAUCUUGGACUUCCAGCCUCCAGAACUGGAUUAUCUUUAAAGUAAGAAGGAAGCUUUUCUUCCCUGCAAUGAUGAAUCCUUGGAUGCCUCAGAUUCAUGGAUCAGAUAGUUGGGAGUCGCCUCAAAAGACCCAGUCCUCAAAAAGUGACCCUGAUAUAAUGGCCCAGAUGAUAAACUUCUCUGUUUCCAGGAAGAAGUCUGCUUUUGCAAGUGAGUAAUAUAUUUCUUUUUCCUUUCCUUUGCUUUCCUUUACUUCUUUCCUUCCCUUCCCUUUUCCCCAAACAUAGAAACUAUCUAAUGUAAUAUCUACUGUGAGCUUGCUCUACCCUUUAUAUGCUUUACCUUAUUUUACCAUCACAACAUCCUAUGAUAUCCACACAGUUAUUGUCCCCCUUUUACAGAUGUGCAAACUGAGGCUGAAAGAGAUGAAAUGACAUAUCCCACCCCUCACAAUUGUAAAUGACAGAGAUGGGAUUUGAACCAAAGCAGCCUGACUCCAGAAAGUAUGCUAAGUCCAGCUUCUGCAUUCACUUAGCUGUAUAGCCUCUCCCAAGUUUUAUUCUAUAAGUCAUCUGCAAAAUUUUCAAAUUAAGGGAGUGUACAUACUAAAUACAUGUUUCUUUUUAUUCCCCACACCUCUUAUCUGAAAAUGCUUGAUAAAUAACAUUGAUUGAUUCAUUCCUCCAAGUUUGAGAUCCUUGGAAGAAUGACCUUACAUAAAUUCUGGUGGCUGUUUUUAUUAAUGCUGCAAGGGUAGUAAUCGCACAGGCUGGAAGAGAGGAGGACAGAAUUGAAAACAGAAAUAAUUCAUUCUAUUUCUUAGAUUAGGUGCCUAGAGGUGGCAUGGUACCUUAGCAGUCUGAAGUUUGGGGCCUCUGGGUGCUUGCACCUUGCUGCUGCGGAUUUAAUCAUCUUGUCUGACGUAUGUUUCUGUAGAGUGACAAGUACUCCCUGUCCCACUUAUGAACAGAUUUACUCUGAUGGGCUUGGGGGGAAAAGCCCUUUUCUCAGCCAGCAUGAUUCAGCUGGUCUGUGGGUCUGCUUACCUGUAAACACAUUCACAAGCAAGCUAGCUCUCAGCCCACAGAAUUUUGAUUUAGUUAAGUUU